GCUGGGCGUGGUGGUGGGCGCCUGUAGUCCCAGCUACUCGGGAGGCUGAGGCAGGAGAAUCACUUGAACCCAGGAGGCAGAGGUUGCAGUGAGCUGAGAUGGUGCCACUGCACUCUAGCCUGGGUGACAGAGGGAGACUCUGUCUCAA
RNAcentral lists this non-coding RNA (148 nucleotides) under Pan troglodytes (chimpanzee). The record is from Rfam by way of RNAcentral. Lineage: Eukaryota; Metazoa; Chordata; Mammalia; Primates; Hominidae.